GACGAACGCUGGCGGCGUGCCUAAUACAUGCAAGUCGAACGCACUCUCGUUUAGAUUGAAGGAGCUUGCUCCUGAUUGAUAAACAUUUGAGUGAGUGGCGGACGGGUGAGUAACACGUGGGUAACCUGCCCUAAAGUGGGGGAUAACAUUUGGAAACAGAUGCUAAUACCGCAUAAAACCUAACACCGCAUGGUGUAGGGUUGAAAGAUGGUUUCGGCUAUCACUUUAGGAUGGACCCGCGGUGCAUUAGUUAGUUGGUGAGGUAAAGGCUCACCAAGACCGUGAUGCAUAGCCGACCUGAGAGGGUAAAUCGGCCACACUGGGACUGAGACACGGCCCAGACUCCUACGGGAGGCAGCAGUAGGGAAUCUUCCACAAUGGACGAAAGUCUGAUGGAGCAACGCCGCGUGAGUGAAGAAGGUUUUCGGAUCGUAAAACUCUGUUAGUUGGAGAAGAAUGUAUCUGAUAGUAACUGA
Molecule: ribosomal RNA, 476 nt
Filed under: uncultured bacterium
Lineage: Bacteria
Description: bacterial SSU rRNA
Rfam family: Bacterial small subunit ribosomal RNA
Source: RNAcentral